GAUUAACGUUGGCGGCGUGCAUAACACAUGCAAGUUGAGCGUGGCUCUUAGUUUACUAAGAGUCUAGCAGCGGACGGCUGAGUAAUGCACAGGAACGUACCUCAAAGUGGGGAAUAGCCCUUCGAAAGAAGGGGUAAUACCGCAUAGUCUCGCAAGAGUAAAGCCGCAAGGCGCUUUGAGAACGGCCUGUGUCCUAUCAGGUUGUUGGUGGGGUAAUUGCCUACCAAGCCUAGACGGGUAGCUGGUCUGAGAGGAUGACCAGCCAGAUCGGGACUGAGACACGGCCCGAACUCCUACGGGAGGCAGCAGUUGGGAAUUUUGCGCAAUGGACGAAAGUCUGACGCAGCGACGCCGCGUGGAGGAUGAAGGCUUUAGGGUUGUAAACUCCUUUGCGAGGGAAUAAUUUGUGAAUGUACCUCGCGAAUAAGCACCGGCUAACUCCGUGCCAGCAGCCGCCGCAGUAAC
RNAcentral lists this ribosomal RNA (465 nucleotides) under uncultured bacterium. Its description in RNAcentral is "bacterial SSU rRNA". It matches the Rfam family "Bacterial small subunit ribosomal RNA", at positions 28 to 526 of the family's 1533-position model. The record is from RNAcentral.